RNAcentral lists this ribosomal RNA (484 nucleotides) under uncultured bacterium. RNAcentral's name for it is "partial 16S ribosomal RNA". It matches the Rfam family "Bacterial small subunit ribosomal RNA", at positions 28 to 523 of the family's 1533-position model. The record is from RNAcentral.
GACGAACGCUGGCGGCGUGCUUAACACAUGCAAGUCGAACAAUGAACCCGGAGCUUGCUCCGGCGGAUUAGUGGCGAACGGGUGAGUAACACGUGAGUAACCUGCCCUUGACUCUGGGAUAACUGCUGGAAAUGGUAGCUAAUACCGGAUACGACCCUCGGUGGCAUCACCAGGGGGUGGAAAGAAUUUCGGUCAAGGAUGGACUCGCGGCCUAUCAGCUAGUUGGUGAGGUAACGGCUCACCAAGGCGACGACGGGUAGCCGGCCUGAGAGGGUGACCGGCCACACUGGGACUGAGACACGGCCCAGACUCCUACGGGAGGCAGCAGUGGGGAAUAUUGCACAAUGGGCGCAAGCCUGAUGCAGCAACGCCGCGUGAGGGAUGACGGCCUUCGGGUUGUAAACCUCUUUCAGCACAGACGAAGCGCAAGUGACGGUAUGUGCAGAAGAAGGACCGGCCAACUACGUGCCAGCAGCCGCAGUAA